GAUGAAGAACGUAGCGAAAUGCGAUACGUAAUGUGAAUUGCAGAAUUCAGUGAAUCAUCGAGUCUUUGAACGCACAUUGCGCCCCCUGGUAUUCCGGGGGGCAUGCCUGUCCGAGCGUCAUUGCUGCCCUCAAGCACGGCUUGUGUGUUGGGCCUCCGUCCUCCUCCCGGGGGACGGGCCCGAAAGGCAGCGGCGGCACCGCGUCCGGUCCUCGAGCGUAUGGGGCUUCGUCACCCGCUCUUGUAGGCCCGGCCGGCGCUUGCCGACACAUCAAUCUUUUUUCCAGGUUGACCUCGGAUCAGGUAGGGAUACCCGCUGAACUUAAGCAUAUCAAUAGCGGGGA
Molecule: unclassified non-coding RNA, 343 nt
Filed under: soil metagenome
Description: partial contains 5.8S ribosomal RNA, internal transcribed spacer 2, and large subunit ribosomal RNA
Rfam family: 5.8S ribosomal RNA (bases 1-120)
Source: RNAcentral